AGCGAACGCUGGCGGCAGGCUUAACACAUGCAAGUCGAGCGGGCACUUCGGUGUCAGCGGCAGACGGGUGAGUAACACGUGGGAACGUACCCUUUGGUUCGGAAUAACGCUGGGAAACUAGCGCUAAUACCGGAUACGCCCUUUUGGGGAAAGGCUUGCUGCCGAAGGAUCGGCCCGCGUCUGAUUAGCUAGUUGGUGGGGUAAUGGCCUACCAAGGCGACGAUCAGUAGCUGGUCUGAGAGGAUGAUCAGCCACACUGGGACUGAGACACGGCCCAGACCCCUCGGGGGGGGGGCGGGGGGGAAUUUUGGAAAGGGGGCGAAAGCCUGAUCCGGCCCGGCCGGGGGGGGGAGGAAGGCUUUGGGGUUGUAAACCUUUUUUGCCCGGGACGAAAAUGACGGUACCGGAAAAAAAAGCCCCGCCUAACUUCGU
Molecule: ribosomal RNA, 432 nt
Filed under: uncultured bacterium
Lineage: Bacteria
Description: partial 16S ribosomal RNA
Rfam family: Bacterial small subunit ribosomal RNA
Source: RNAcentral